AUCGCUUCUCGGCCUUUUGGCAAGAUCAAGUGUAGUAUCUGUUCUUAUCAGUUUAAUAUCUGAUACGUCCCAUCGGGGACCAUAUAUUAAAUUGAUUUUUGGAAUAGGGAGAUGGAAUAGGGGCUUGCUCCGUCCACUCCACGCAUCGACCUGGUAUUGCAGUACCUCCAGGAACGGUGCACCCCCU
This 187-nucleotide small nuclear RNA is filed under the name Oncorhynchus tshawytscha (Chinook salmon). Its description in RNAcentral is "U2 spliceosomal RNA". It matches the Rfam family "U2 spliceosomal RNA". From Rfam's summary of the family: U2 is a small nuclear RNA (snRNA) component of the spliceosome (involved in pre-mRNA splicing). The record is from Rfam by way of RNAcentral. Lineage: Eukaryota; Metazoa; Chordata; Actinopteri; Salmoniformes; Salmonidae.